AACAAACAUUAACAGUUUCAAUAUAUAUAUAUAUAUGUGUGGGAGGAUUUACGAAAAAAAAGACAUUUUGAAUUUCAUUUUUUUUUUAUCCAGGGACUAGUAUAAGAGACCAUGAUUCACCACACAGAGUUUGGCAACAGGUCCCGCCCAGCCGACCCUUGUCUUCCAUUACCGCAGUUUCCCCUGGAGACACCACUUCGAAUUCUUCACAAGAGCAGUCAAACACUUUGGAUUCAUUAAGUACAUUUAAAACGACGUUAGAGGAAUCUGGAUUUCCAUGUUGGAGGAUGUCCAUAGGAUCAAAUAACAGCAGCGGUGUUAGCAGUCCUCCUGGUUCCAGUCGGCACAGUUUGGUCGAGGACAGAGAACAGAUGACUGACGCAGCUGACCAACAACCUGGCUGGCUGACCAAGCAAAUUUUAUAAACUGAAUCGUACUUUGUUACAAACAGAAAAAUCUGUGGCUAUAUUGCUCUUUCACCUAGGAAUUCUUGAAGGGGGUAAAAAAAAAAAAUUACAUGAAAAACUCAACAACAAUACAACAAAUCAAAGACCUAUCUCUUACCAAAAUGUUUAAUAACAUCAAAACCUAUUAUAAGUUUUCUCAAGUUUUCUUACAUCUGUUAAAAAAGUCUGAGUUUGGUGUAUUAUUAUUA
This is a long non-coding RNA of Octopus bimaculoides (California two-spot octopus), 655 nucleotides long. NCBI's taxonomy places the organism in Eukaryota, Metazoa, Mollusca, Cephalopoda, Octopoda, Octopodidae. The record is from RefSeq and is a predicted model, not a curated record.